AGCAAAGUGGCCGAGAGACAGGCAAAAGAUUGUAGCUCUUUACACGGGUUAUCCCCCUU
RNAcentral lists this transfer RNA (59 nucleotides) under Uniomerus tetralasmus. RNAcentral describes it as "tRNA-Tyr". The record is from RNAcentral. Lineage: Eukaryota; Metazoa; Mollusca; Bivalvia; Unionida; Unionidae.